Molecule: long non-coding RNA, 312 nt
Filed under: Phaseolus vulgaris (common bean)
Lineage: Eukaryota; Viridiplantae; Streptophyta; Magnoliopsida; Fabales; Fabaceae
Description: long non-coding RNA (PVUL_LNC004964)
Source: RNAcentral
AAAGAAUUAUAGCAACACCCAGUCAACAAAAAGUUUUCAGAGCCAUGGGUAUCACAUCGUAUGCUCUAUAUCCAGUAAUUAGCUCCCAGAGCACUACCCCAGAAAUGUAAAUAUCAGGUCUCAUCGUUAAUUUCCCACUAGUGGCAUAUUCAGGGGUAUUAUAACAUUGUCUUCACAUGAUCCCAGUGGCAACAUAUGAUUAGCCCCAAGUUGUGCCAAAUAUUAUAAGCUCAAAAUCAUAAAUAUUGCAGCAAACUGUCACUCUCCUCAUUCAGAGUUCUUUCUGAGCUCAGUCUUGUAUCAACUGUGUCG